RNAcentral lists this ribosomal RNA (511 nucleotides) under uncultured bacterium. RNAcentral describes it as "bacterial SSU rRNA". It matches the Rfam family "Bacterial small subunit ribosomal RNA", at positions 391 to 902 of the family's 1533-position model. The record is from RNAcentral.
GCCAUGCCGCGUGCAGGAAGACGGCCCUCUGGGUUGUAAACUGCUUUUAUUCGGGAAUAAACCACAUUACGAGUAGUGUGCUGAAUGUACCGAAGGAAUAAGGAUCGGCUAACUCCGUGCCAGCAGCCGCGGUAAUACGGAGGAUCCAAGCGUUAUCCGGAUUUAUUGGGUUUAAAGGGUGCGUAGGCGGCUUAUUAAGUCAGGGGUGAAAGACGGUGGCUCAACCAUCGCAGUGCCCUUGAUACUGAUGAGCUUGAAUGGACUAGAGGUAGGCGGAAUGUGACAAGUAGCGGUGAAAUGCAUAGAUAUGUCACAGAACACCGAUUGCGAAGGCAGCUUACUAUGGUUUUAUUGACGCUGAGGCACGAAAGCGUGGGGAUCAAACAGGAUUAGAUACCCUGGUAGUCCACGCCCUAAACGAUGAAUACUCGCUGUUAGCGAUAUACAGUUAGCGGCUAAGCGAAAGCGUUAAGUAUUCCACCUGGGGAGUACGCCCGCAAGGGUGAAACUC